GAUGAACGCUGGCGGCGUGCCUAAUACAUGCAAGUCGAGCGAACGGACGAGAAGCUUGCUUCUCUGAUGUUAGCGGCGGACGGGUGAGUAACACGUGGAUAACCUACCUAUAAGACUGGGAUAACUUCGGGAAACCGGAGCUAAUACCGGAUAAUAUUUUGAACCGCAUGGUUCAAAAGUGAAAGACGGUCUUGCUGUCACUUAUAGAUGGAUCCGCGCUGCAUUAGCUAGUUGGUAAGGUAACGGCUUACCAAGGCAACGAUGCAUAGCCGACCUGAGAGGGUGAUCGGCCACACUGGAACUGAGACACGGUCCAGACUCCUACGGGAGGCAGCAGUAGGGAAUCUUCCGCAAUGGGCGAAAGCCUGACGGAGCAACGCCGCGUGAGUGAUGAAGGUCUUCGGAUCGUAAAACUCUGUUAUUAGGGAAGAACAUAUGUGUAAGUAACUGUGCACAUCUUGACGGUACCUAAUCAGAAAGCCACGGCUAACUACGUGCCAGCAGCCGCGGUAAUACGUAGAUGGCAAGCGUUAUCCGGAAUUAUUGGGCGUAAAGCGCGCGUAGGCGGUUUUUUAAGUCUGAUGUGAAAGCCCACGGCUCAACCGUGGAGGGUCAUUGGAAACUGGAAAACUUGAGUGCAGAAGAGGAAAGUGGAAUUCCAUGUGUAGCGGUGAAAUGCGCAGAGAUAUGGAGGAACACCAGUGGCGAAGGCGACUUUCUGGUCUGUAACUGGCGCUGAUGUGCGAAAGCGUGGGGAUCAAACAGGAUUAGAUACCCUGGUAGUCCACGCCGUAAACGAUGAGUGCUAAGUGUUAGGGGGUUUCCGCCCCUUAGUGCUGCAGCUAACGCAUUAAGCACUCCGCCUGGGGAGUACGACCGCAAGGUUGAAACUCAAAGGAAUUGACGGGGACCCGCACAAGCGGUGGAGCAUGUGGUUUAAUUCGAAGCAACGCGAAGAACCUUACCAAAUCUUGACAUCCUUUGACAACUCUAGAGAUAGAGCCUUCCCCUUCGGGGGACAAAGUGACAGGUGGUGCAUGGUUGUCGUCAGCUCGUGUCGUGAGAUGUUGGGUUAAGUCCCGCAACGAGCGCAACCCUUAAGCUUAGUUGCCAUCAUUAAGUUGGGCACUCUAAGUUGACUGCCGGUGACAAACCGGAGGAAGGUGGGGAUGACGUCAAAUCAUCAUGCCCCUUAUGAUUUGGGCUACACACGUGCUACAAUGGACAAUACAAAGGGCAGCGAAACCGCGAGGUCAAGCAAAUCCCAUAAAGUUGUUCUCAGUUCGGAUUGUAGUCUGCAACUCGACUACAUGAAGCUGGAAUCGCUAGUAAUCGUAGAUCAGCAUGCUACGGUGAAUACGUUCCCGGGUCU
RNAcentral lists this ribosomal RNA (1372 nucleotides) under uncultured bacterium. RNAcentral's name for it is "bacterial SSU rRNA". It matches the Rfam family "Bacterial small subunit ribosomal RNA", at positions 28 to 1381 of the family's 1533-position model. The record is from RNAcentral.